This 253-nucleotide ribosomal RNA is filed under the name uncultured bacterium. RNAcentral's name for it is "partial 16S ribosomal RNA". It matches the Rfam family "Bacterial small subunit ribosomal RNA", at positions 524 to 776 of the family's 1533-position model. The record is from RNAcentral.
UACGGGGGGGGUAAGCGUUGUUCGGAAUUACUGGGCGUAAAGGGCUCGUAGGCGGCCAACUAAGUCAUACGUGAAAUCCCUCAGCUUAACUGGGGAACUGCGUGUGAUACUGGAUGGCUUGGAUUUGGGAGAGGGAUGCGGAAUUCCAGGUGUAGCGGUGAAAUGCGUAGAUAUCUGGAGGAACACCGGUGGCGAAGGCGGCGUCCUGGACCAACACUGACACUGAAAAGCGAAAGCCAGGGGAGCAAACGGG